RNAcentral lists this ribosomal RNA (496 nucleotides) under uncultured bacterium. Its description in RNAcentral is "partial 16S ribosomal RNA". It matches the Rfam family "Bacterial small subunit ribosomal RNA", at positions 28 to 506 of the family's 1533-position model. The record is from RNAcentral.
GAUGAACGCUGGCGGCGUGCCUAAUACAUGCAAGUCGAGCGAACAGACGAGGAGCUUGCUCCUCUGACGUUAGCGGCGGACGGGUGAGUAACACGUGGAUAACCUACCUAUAAGACUGGGAUAACUUCGGGAAACCGGAGCUAAUACCGGAUAAUAUAUUGAACCGCAUGGUUCAAUAGUGAAAGACGGUUUUGCUGUCACUUAUAGAUGGAUCCGCGCCGCAUUAGCUAGUUGGCAAGGUAACGGCUUACCAAGGCAACGAUGCGUAGCCGACCUGAGAGGGUGAUCGGCCACACUGGAACUGAGACACGGUCCAGACUCCUACGGGAGGCAGCAGUAGGGAAUCUUCCGCAAUGGGCGAAAGCUUGACGGAGCAACGCCGCGUGAGUGAUGAAGGUCUUCGGAUCGUAAAACUCUGUUAUUAGGGAAGAACAAAUGUGUAAGUAACUAUGCACGUCUUGACGGUACCUAAUCAGAAAGCCACGGCUAACUACGU